UAAGCAUCAGGUAACAUCAAAUCGUACCCCAAACCGACACAGGUGGUCAGGUAGAGAAUACCAAGGCGCUUGAGAGAACUCGGGUGAAGGAACUAGGCAAAAUGGUGCCGUAACUUCGGGAGAAGGCACGCUGAUAUGUAGGUGAAGUCCCUCGCGGAUGGAGCUGAAAUCAGUCGAAGAUACCAGCUGGCUGCAACUGUUUAUUAAAAACACAGCACUGUGCAAACACGAAAGUGGACGUAUACGGUGUGACGCCUGCCCGGUGCCGGAAGGUUAAUUGAUGGGGUCAGCGCAAGCGAAGCUCUUGAUCGAAGCCCCGGUAAACGGCGGCCGUAACUAUAACGGUCCUAAGGUAGCGAAAUUCCUUGUCGGGUAAGUUCCGACCUGCACGAAUGGCGUAAUGAUGGCCAGGCUGUCUCCACCCGAGACUCAGUGAAAUUGAACUCGCUGUGAAGAUGCAGUGUACCCGCGGCAAGACGGAAAGACCCCGUGAACCUUUACUAUAGCUUGACACUGAACAUUGAGCCUUGAUGUGUAGGAUAGGUGGGAGGCUUUGAAGUGUGGACGCCAGUCUGCAUGGAGCCGACCUUGAAAUACCACCCUUUAAUGUUUGAUGUUCUAACGUGGACCCGUGAUCCGGGUUGCGGACAGUGUCUGGUGGGUAGUUUGACUGGGGCGGUCUCCUCCUAAAGAGUAACGGAGGAGCACGAAGGUUGGCUAAUCCUGGUCGGACAUCAGGAGGUUAGUGCAAUGGCAUAAGCCAGCUUGACUGCGAGCGUGACGGCGCGAGCAGGUGCGAAAGCAGGUCAUAGUGAUCCGGUGGUUCUGAAUGGAAGGGCCAUCGCUCAACGGAUAAAAGGUACUCCGGGGAUAACAGGCUGAUACCGCCCAAGAGUUCAUAUCGACGGCGGUGUUUGGCACCUCGAUGUCGGCUCAUCACAUCCUGGGGCUGAAGUAGGUCCCAAGGGUAUGGCUGUUCGCCAUUUAAAGUGGUACGCGAGCUGGGUUUAGAACGUCGUGAGACAGUUCGGUCCCUAUCUGCCGUGGGCGCUGGAGAACUGAGGGGGGCUGCUCCUAGUACGAGAGGACCGGAGUGGACGCAUCACUGGUGUUCGGGUUGUCAUGCCAAUGGCACUGCCCGGUAGCUAAAUGCGGAAGAGAUAAGUGCUGAAAGCAUCUAAGCACGAAACUUGCCCCGAGAUGAGUUCUCCCUGACCCUUUAAGGGUCCUGAAGGAACGUUGAAGACGACGACGUUGAUAGGCCGGGUGUGUAAGCGCAGCGAUGCGUUGAGCUAACCGGUACUAAUGAACCGUGAGGCUUAACCUUACAACGCCGAAGGUGUUU
RNAcentral lists this ribosomal RNA (1345 nucleotides) under Escherichia coli. RNAcentral's name for it is "partial 23S ribosomal RNA". It matches the Rfam family "Bacterial large subunit ribosomal RNA", at positions 1622 to 2925 of the family's 2925-position model. The record is from RNAcentral. Lineage: Bacteria; Pseudomonadati; Pseudomonadota; Gammaproteobacteria; Enterobacterales; Enterobacteriaceae.